CCAGGUCACAAACAGCAUGGCUUACCAUUCCUUUCGCUCUUGUAGUGUGUUUAACCACUUAAACCAGUUCUGGAUUUGGAACAGCAUGAAAUUGUUCAAAUCCAGCUACCAUCCCUGCCUGCCUUGACCCUCCUCGCGGAUUCACUGUCGAGACGAGUCGCGCGGGCUGCAGAGUCGUGAAGAGUGGGAUCAGGAGAACAGCUGCGUGUUCAUCGAUGAGAGCCAGUCUAGCGAGGGAAAAGUGAUUUUCUGUAAUUCUCCAGGAAGGAAUGUCGUAGUACGUACUUGGGGAGAGUAACGUUACACAGAUUUGAGACGACAGCUAACCUCAAAAACAACAUACAUCCUGGUGUCCGCAUGCACCAAAUCAAAGGUCGAAGAAAAGAGAAAC
Long non-coding RNA from Sinocyclocheilus grahami, 391 nucleotides. RefSeq lists it as uncharacterized. Lineage: Eukaryota; Metazoa; Chordata; Actinopteri; Cypriniformes; Cyprinidae. The transcript is spliced from 3 exons. The record is from RefSeq and is a predicted model, not a curated record.